UACGUAGGUGACAAGCGUUGUCCGGAUUUACUGGGCGUAAGGAGCGCGCAGGCGGUCGUUCAAGUCGAGUGUGAAAGCCCCCGGCUCAACUGGGGAGGGUCAUUCGAUACUGAUCGACUCGAAGGCAGGAGAGGGAAGUGGAAUUCCCGGUGUAGAGGUGAAAUGCGUAGAUAUCGGGAGGAACACCAGUGGCGAAGGCGACUUCCUGGCCUGUUCUUGACGCUGAGGCGCGAAAGCUAGGGGAGCAAACGGG
RNAcentral lists this ribosomal RNA (253 nucleotides) under uncultured bacterium. RNAcentral's name for it is "partial 16S ribosomal RNA". It matches the Rfam family "Bacterial small subunit ribosomal RNA", at positions 524 to 776 of the family's 1533-position model. The record is from RNAcentral.